This is a long non-coding RNA of Magnolia sinica, 650 nucleotides long. RefSeq lists it as uncharacterized. The record is from RefSeq and is a predicted model, not a curated record. The transcript is spliced from 6 exons. Lineage: Eukaryota; Viridiplantae; Streptophyta; Magnoliopsida; Magnoliales; Magnoliaceae.
AGCGGAAGGAGUUUUACUCAAAGUUAGAGUAGAAAAACCAAGCUUUGGAGGCAGAGAAAAACCAGUGUGAAGCCAGGACCAAGACAAGCAAUUUGUCUGGUCCAAUAAACUGUAUAUGGUACACGUGGGGGCUGCAUGCUGGUGAUCUGCUCGCUGACUUGAUUAUCCUGACUGUGGACAGUAAGCUGGUGUUGGCGGAUGGGCAUAUCCCAUGGGCGUGUGAGUCAUUCUCAAGGCUACACGAACGGGACCUUGUCUGAGCGCUGGCUCUGAUUUGGCAAAGGUCUCUGCUUCCUGCUUUUGAAUCUGCAGAAAUGCGCACCUUAGCAGAGAGUUUAAGUAGGAAUAUCAUUCGUGGGAAUCCAAAUGUGAAGUGGGAAAGCAUCAAAGGGUUAGAGAAUGCAAAACGCCUUCUCAAGGAAGCAGUUGUGAUGCCAAUAAAGUGUCCCAAGUAGGUCUCAUUAAGUCUGGCAAUGCCUCAUGGAUAGUUCUAUUAAAAUUGUUGAGAAUUAUUUGAGAAAUUUUCUUUUAGAUGAAUAAUUUGUUAGCUUUUGAAGCUCAUUACGUUAGGUAUAAGCUUUGUAUUGCAUAUUGCGCCACUUUUUAUCCUUUCAUUUCUUCUGUGUCCAUUUGGUGAACUUCUCUAAUUA